UACGUAGGGUGCAAGCGUUGUCCGGAAUUAUUGGGCGUAAAGAGCUCGUAGGCGGUCUGUCGCGUCGGCUGUGAAAUCCCGGAGCUCAACUCCGGGCCUGCAGUCGAUACGGGCAGACUGGAGUUCGGCAGGGGAGACUGGAAUUCCUGGUGUAGCGGUGAAAUGCGCAGAUAUCAGGAGGAACACCGGUGGCGAAGGCGGUUCUCUGGGCAUGUCCUGACGCUGAGGAGCGAAAGUGUGGGGAGCGAACAGG
Molecule: ribosomal RNA, 253 nt
Filed under: uncultured bacterium
Lineage: Bacteria
Description: partial 16S ribosomal RNA
Rfam family: Bacterial small subunit ribosomal RNA
Source: RNAcentral